UCUUGCUUGUAGGUGGUCACUUUUUAAAACC
This 31-nucleotide non-coding RNA is filed under the name Mus musculus (house mouse). The record is from RNAcentral. Lineage: Eukaryota; Metazoa; Chordata; Mammalia; Rodentia; Muridae.